AGGGAAACCGAGUCUUAACUGGGCGUUAAGUUGCAGGGUAUAGACCCGAAACCCGGUGAUCUAGCCAUGGGCAGGUUGAAGGUUGGGUAACACUAACUGGAGGACCGAACCGACUAAUGUUGAAAAAUUAGCGGAUGACUUGUGGCUGGGGGUGAAAGGCCAAUCAAACCGGGAGAUAGCUGGUUCUCCCCGAAAGCUAUUUAGGUAGCGCCUCGUGAACUCAUCUUCGGGGGUAGAGCACUGUUUCGGCUAGGGGGUCAUCCCGACUUACCAACCCGAUGCAAACUGCGAAUACCGAAGAAUGUUAUCACGGGAGACACACGGCGGGUGCUAACGUCCGUCGUGAAGAGGGAAACAACCCAGACCGCCAGCUAAGGUCCCAAAGUCACAGUUAAGUGGGAAACGAUGUGGGAAGGCUCAGACAGCCAGGAUGUUGGCUUAGAAGCAGCCAUCAUUUAAAGAAAGCGUAAUAGCUCACUGGUCGAGUCGGCCUGCGCGGAAGAUGUAACGGGGCUAAACUGUGCACCGAAGCUGCGGCAGCGACGCUUAUGCGUUGUUGGGUAGGGGAGCGUUCUGUAAGCCUGCGAAGGUGUCCUGUGAGGGAUGCUGGAGGUAUCAGAAGUGCGAAUGCUGACAUAAGUAACGAUAAUGCGGGUGAAAAGCCCGCUCGCCGGAAGACCAAGGGUUCCUGUCCAACGUUAAUCGGGGCAGGGUGAGUCGACCCCUAAGGCGAGGCCGAAAGGCGUAGUCGAUGGGAAACGGGUUAAUAUUCCCGUACUUGGUGUUACUGCGAAGGGGGGACGGAGAAGGCUAUGUUGGCCGGGCGACGGUUGUCCCGGUUUAAGCGUGUAGGCUGGUUUUCCAGGCAAAUCCGGAAAAUCAAGGCUGAGGCGUGAUGACGAGGCACUACGGUGCUGAAGCAACAAAUGCCCUGCUUCCAGGAAAAGCCUCUAAGCAUCAGGUAACAUCAAAUCGUACCCCAAACCGACACAGGUGGUCAGGUAGAGAAUACCAAGGCGCUUGAGAGAACUCGGGUGAAGGAACUAGGCAAAAUGGUGCCGUAACUUCGGGAGAAGGCACGCUGACACGUAGGUGAAGUGA
Molecule: ribosomal RNA, 1101 nt
Filed under: Salmonella enterica subsp. enterica serovar Kentucky
Lineage: Bacteria; Pseudomonadati; Pseudomonadota; Gammaproteobacteria; Enterobacterales; Enterobacteriaceae
Description: partial 23S ribosomal RNA
Rfam family: Bacterial large subunit ribosomal RNA
Source: RNAcentral